AGUAGUAGUAGUAGUAGUAGUAGUAGUAGUAGUAGUAGUAGUAGUAGUAGUAGUAGUAGUAGUAGUAGUAGUAGUAGUAGUAGUAGUAGUAGUAGUAGUAGUAGUAGUAGUAGUAGUAGUAGCAGUAGCAGUAGCAGCAGCAGCAGCAGCAGCAGCAGCAGCAGCAGCAGCAGCAGCAGCAGCAGCAGCAGCAGCAGCAGCAGCAGCAGCAGCAGCAGCAGCAGCAGCAGCAGCAGCAGCAGCAGCAGCAGCAGCAGCAGCAGCAGCAGCAGUAGUAGCAGC
RNAcentral lists this long non-coding RNA (282 nucleotides) under Helianthus annuus (common sunflower). Its description in RNAcentral is "hypothetical non coding rna". Lineage: Eukaryota; Viridiplantae; Streptophyta; Magnoliopsida; Asterales; Asteraceae. The record is from RNAcentral.